CCAAUAGCGUAUAUUAAAGUUGCUGCAGUUAAAAAGCUCGUAGUUGAAUUUCGGGACCGAUAUAUCGGUCGUGCCUCGGUACGUACUGGUAUUUUCGGUUUCUCCCUUCUGACGAACCUUGAUGUCAUUAAUUUGGUGUCUUGGGGAAUCAGGACUGUUACUUUGAAAAAAUUAGAGUGUUUAAAGCAGGCUCACGCUUGAAUACAUUAGCAUGUAAUAAUGAACUAGGACGUUUGAUUCUAUUUUGUUGGUUUCUAGGAUCGACGUAAUGAUUAAUAGG
RNAcentral lists this ribosomal RNA (280 nucleotides) under uncultured Glomus. Its description in RNAcentral is "partial 18S small subunit ribosomal RNA". It matches the Rfam family "Eukaryotic small subunit ribosomal RNA", at positions 591 to 876 of the family's 1831-position model. Lineage: Eukaryota; Fungi; Glomeromycota; Glomeromycetes; Glomerales; Glomeraceae. The record is from RNAcentral.